This 551-nucleotide ribosomal RNA is filed under the name uncultured bacterium. RNAcentral's name for it is "bacterial SSU rRNA". It matches the Rfam family "Bacterial small subunit ribosomal RNA", at positions 355 to 896 of the family's 1533-position model. The record is from RNAcentral.
UAGGGAAUCUUCCUGCAAUGGGCGAAAGCCUGACGGAGCAACGCCGCGUGAGUGAUGAAGGUCUUCGGAUCGUAAAACUCUGUUAUUAGGGAAGAACAUAUGUGUAAGUAACUGUGCACAUCUUGACGGUACCUAAUCAGAAAGCCACGGCUAACUACGUGCCAGCAGCCGCGGUAAUACGUAGGUGGCAAGCGUUAUCCGGAAUUAUUGGGCGUAAAGCGCGCGUAGGCGGUUUUUUAAGUCUGAUGUGAAAGCCCACGGCUCAACCGUGGAGGGUCAUUGGAAACUGGAAAACUUGAGUGCAGAAGAGGAAAGUGGAAUUCCAUGUGUAGCGGUGAAAUGCGCAGAGAUAUGGAGGAACACCAGUGGCGAAGGCGACUUUCUGGUCUGUAACUGACGCUGAUGUGCGAAAGCGUGGGGAUCAAACAGGAUUAGAUACCCUGGUAGUCCACGCCGUAAACGAUGAGUGCCAAGUGUUAGGGGGUUUCCGCCCCUUAGUGCUGCAGCUAACGCAUUAAGCACUCCGCCUGGGGAGUACGACCGCAAGGUUG